UUUGCUCAUUGAUCAGAGUGUCCCCCAGGGGGGUCUGUUCAAGGGAACAAUAUGACCGACUUGCCCUUUUUCCAGGGCUCCCUCUUAUCCCCUUGCUGGUUAAUCCCCAACUUGCUCGUCAGGGUGGUGGUCGCCUCUCCCGAAGCGCGAAGGUGCCAUGGCUCCAUGUCAGCUGCCCACCUUGUUGACCCCCUCAGACCGGACAUAGGACGCCCUUCUGAGGGAUUUGAGCGUGGCUCGCUCAGCCCUGGAGAUAGCUAACACUGAGGUGUGGCAUCUGCAAUCGCGACUAGCGACCCUCAACAAUCCAAGGGCAGGACCUAGGCCCGAAGCGCUGGGUUUUCCUCUGUGUGGAUCAGGCUACAAGAUUUGUUCAUGCGCUAGGGAAGAAUCAGAGAUCGUGCCUCCUUGACAUCCUGGAUUGUGUUCGCGAGGCUAUGGAGUUCAUUGUUCAACGGGGCACGUCGACGACUCUUGCUAUUGCAUAGUUGCACUUUGGUGACCGCCUUCGUGAUGUUGUCGGUUUGCCUACCAGAACAACAUUAGUAGACUUAGGUCUCCUAACGAGCGGCUUUGAUGUUGUAGGGAACACUGUGCUCGGGGUGGUGUCAAUGGAGGAAAUAAUCCAUGAUCUUCCAUAGCCUCA
Zea mays is the source of this 646-nucleotide long non-coding RNA. RefSeq lists it as uncharacterized. The record is from RefSeq and is a predicted model, not a curated record. NCBI's taxonomy places the organism in Eukaryota, Viridiplantae, Streptophyta, Magnoliopsida, Poales, Poaceae. The transcript is spliced from 2 exons.